UCGUCAGCUCGUGUCGUGAGAUGUUGGGUUAAGUCCCGCAACGAGCGCAACCCUCGUUCUAUGUUGCCAGCACGUGAUGGUGGGAACUCAUAGGAGACUGCCGGGGUCAACUCGGAGGAAGGUGGGGAUGACGUCAAAUCAUCAUGCCCUUUAUGUCUUGGGCUUCACGCAUGCUACAAUGGCUGGUACAGAGAGAUGCGAGACCGUGAGGUUUUAGCGAAUCCCUUAAAGCCAGUCUCAGUUCGGAUCGUAGUCUGCAAUUCGACUACGUGAAGUCGGAGUCGCUAGUAAUCGCAGAUCAGCAACGCUGCGGUGAAUACGUUCCCGGGCCUUGUACACACCGCCCGUCAAGUCACGAAAGUCGGUAACACCCGAAGCCGGUGGCCCAACCCUUGUGGAGGGGGCCGUCUAAGGUGGGACUGGUGAUUGGGACUAAGUCGUAACAAGGUAGCCGUACCGGAAGGUGCGGCUGGAUCACCUCCUUU
Molecule: ribosomal RNA, 485 nt
Filed under: Bifidobacterium crudilactis
Lineage: Bacteria; Bacillati; Actinomycetota; Actinomycetes; Bifidobacteriales; Bifidobacteriaceae
Description: bacterial SSU rRNA
Rfam family: Bacterial small subunit ribosomal RNA
Source: RNAcentral